Molecule: transfer RNA, 68 nt
Filed under: Cavia porcellus (domestic guinea pig)
Lineage: Eukaryota; Metazoa; Chordata; Mammalia; Rodentia; Caviidae
Rfam family: tRNA
About the family: Transfer RNA (tRNA) molecules are approximately 80 nucleotides in length. Their secondary structure includes four short double-helical elements and three loops (D, anti-codon, and T loops).
Source: Rfam by way of RNAcentral
GGGGAUUUAGCUCAGUGGCAUAAGCACCUGCCUUGCAAGCAGGCGGUUGUGAGUUCAUUCAAUCCCCA